RNAcentral lists this ribosomal RNA (440 nucleotides) under Rhabdophis nuchalis (Hubei keelback). Its description in RNAcentral is "partial large subunit ribosomal RNA". It matches the Rfam family "Bacterial large subunit ribosomal RNA", at positions 1928 to 2592 of the family's 2925-position model. Lineage: Eukaryota; Metazoa; Chordata; Lepidosauria; Squamata; Natricidae. The record is from RNAcentral.
CGGCCGCGGUACCCUAACCGUGCAAAGGUAGCAUAAUCAUUUGUCUAUUAACUGUAGACCUGUAUGAAAGGCAAAAUGAGGGUUUAACUGUCUCUUAUGAUAAAUCUAUUAAACUGAUCUCCCAGUAAAAAAGCUGGGAUGCUCCCAUAAGACCAGAAGACCCUGUGAAGCUUUAACUAAACUAUUAAACCAAAUAAUAACUACUUUAGGUUGGGGCGACCUUGGAAAAAAAAAGAACUUCCAACAUAACAAAUACCACCAAGGCCUACAAGCCAAUUAACGACCCAGUAACACUGAUAAUCGAACUAAGUUACUCCAGGGAUAACAGCGCCAUCUUCUUCAAGAGCCCAUAUCAAAAAGAAGGUUUACGACCUCGAUGUUGGAUCAGGACACCCCAAUGGUGCAACCGCUAUUAAAGGUUCGUUUGUUCAACGAUUAAU